CUGGACCUGGACGCCCUGUUGGAUUCUCCCUUGGAAACCGCUGCCUGAGCUAAACGGAUUUUCCCCUGACAAAGACCCGGACCGGACCUGGACAAAGAGCCCUGGAUAACCCCCUCUCGGACGCCUUCAACAUAAGGAGUCAGAGCUCUACCCUCAGCACGUCCAGGAGCGGCCAGUCGCAGAGUGCGAGCCGAGCCAGGGGACCGCGCCGCCAGCGUCAAAAUAAAGACUGUUAAUAUUUUGUA
Fundulus heteroclitus (mummichog) is the source of this 245-nucleotide long non-coding RNA. RefSeq lists it as uncharacterized. The record is from RefSeq and is a predicted model, not a curated record. Lineage: Eukaryota; Metazoa; Chordata; Actinopteri; Cyprinodontiformes; Fundulidae. The transcript is spliced from 2 exons.